UUGUAUUAUGCGUUUCAUUCAUUUAAUAUAUGUUGAAAUGAAUGAAUGUAUUAUUAAAUUAUUUCUUUCCAAACACAUUUCUCAAACACUCCUAUCACCUCUUCCACCAUGCUCACCGCUUGGACUAACAAGUAGUCCUCUCAAGUACUCUGUUGAACUGCUCAAAUGUAAAGAUUAAUCUUUUGGAAGCACCAGAGAGUCACAGUGUAUACUUACAUUUAUCUGCAGAUGACAUUCGAUAAUACUGUAUUCAUUUAUUAUAGAAGGAAAAAAUACUCGUCAACUUAAUGCAAUUCCACCUGUUUUUUCUAGCUUCUUUUUUGUUAAUCCACAAGGUGUGCAGUUAGAGGUUGUCUUCUCUGAGGCAAAAAUAAGAUCAUAUAAUACAUGUAGCAUGUUCUGUAGUUCAUAGUGCACUUUAUUGUAACUUUUUCAUAUUCUUUGUUUUAAAAUAGAUUUUUCUUAAUACUAUACAUAAGUCAACUGCAUAUUUCAUUGAGUGUUUAAUCUUUCUCUUUGACAUGAAACACUGUACAGAUUUAACACUAUACAUCCAGUAACAGAUCAUCACCUUUAAAUACCAGAUAUAAAUGUUGUUAGUCAAUAGAGUUUUCCAUAUUUUCUUCUAUUUGUAUAACAAAUGUAUGUAACAAAUGUCUGUACAGUAAUCAUGCCCUAAAAAAAGAAUAAAGACUAUCGGUAUCCAAAAUGUCUCAUUCUCAAUGUGAGUUGUGUACUAAAAUGCAGUAUGUUGAAAAUGAAUGGUUCAUUUAUAAAGAAUCAAUCUCAAAAAAGUUAUACAAUGCAGUUAUAAAUUACAAAAUCUACCCAUCCCAUUUCAGCUCCUUUGGUUAUUUUCUAAUACAGUGGGGAGUUUUACAAAUAAAUAAUGAAGACAAAAUAAAUAAAAAAUACAAGCACUCAAAUGGCAAUUUAAAUUUAGCACUUGCAUUCUGAAUGGCAGUCUUGUAUCAGGAAGCACUAGAUCUGUUACUUGGGCAGUAAAAGUCAAGAUAAUCACAUGUGCUCAUUUUUUAUAUUAGUCUCCCUGUACACAGUAAUGUUUUGAAUGUCAUUUGUUUAUAUUAAAAGGAAAUUGAAUAUUUCUCUUCUAAAUGUGCUACUGUUAACUGUUGUGAAAUAUUUUUCUUGGCUCUGAACCAAGCCACAACAUUUUCUACUGAACUGUUAGCAUGCUUGAAAGUGUAUAUUGCUACAUCAGCGAUUUAAACUCAUCAAUGUUAGCAAAACCUCAAAUGCUUUAAAGUGGGAUUGUCUACUUAAUGUCAUACGUAAGCAAUGUUGUUGC
Long non-coding RNA from Sinocyclocheilus grahami, 1309 nucleotides. RefSeq lists it as uncharacterized. The transcript has 2 exons. The record is from RefSeq and is a predicted model, not a curated record. Lineage: Eukaryota; Metazoa; Chordata; Actinopteri; Cypriniformes; Cyprinidae.